GGACGAACGCUGGCGGCGUGCCUAAUACAUGCAAGUGGAACGCAUGAUUGAUACCGUAGCUUGCUACACCAUUAAUCAUGAGUCGCGAACGGGUGAGUAACGCGUAGGUAACCUGCCUACUAGCGGGGGAUAACUAUUGGAAACGAUAGCUAAUACCGCAUAAGAGUUUUUAACACAUGUUAGAAAUUUAAAAGGAGCAAAUGCUUCACUAGUAGAUGGACCUGCGUUGUAUUAGCUAGUUGGUAAGGUAACGGCUUACCAAGGCGACGAUACAUAGCCGACCUGAGAGGGUGAUCGGCCACACUGGGACUGAGACACGGCCCAGACUCCUACGGGAGGCAGCAGUAGGGAAUCUUCGGCAAGUGGGGGGACCCUGACCGAGCAACGCCGCGUGAGUGAAAAGAAGGUUUUCGGAUCGUAAAGCUCUGUUGUAAGAGAAGAACGUUGAGUAGAGUGGAAAGUUACUCAAGUGACGGUAUCUUACCAGAAAGGGACGGCUAACUACGUGCCAGCAGCAGC
This 519-nucleotide ribosomal RNA is filed under the name uncultured bacterium. RNAcentral describes it as "bacterial SSU rRNA". It matches the Rfam family "Bacterial small subunit ribosomal RNA", at positions 27 to 518 of the family's 1533-position model. The record is from RNAcentral.